This 386-nucleotide ribosomal RNA is filed under the name uncultured bacterium. RNAcentral describes it as "bacterial SSU rRNA". It matches the Rfam family "Bacterial small subunit ribosomal RNA", at positions 104 to 520 of the family's 1533-position model. The record is from RNAcentral.
GGGUGAGUAACACUGUGACUACCUACCCUUGUAGUGGGGGAUAACCUCGGGAAACCGAGGCUAAUACCGCAUAAUAUCGAAAGAUCAAAGGAGUAAUCCGCUUUUGGAGGGGGUCGCGGCUGAUUAGCUAGUUGGUAGGGUAAUGGCCUACCAAGGCGAAGAUCGGUAUCCGGCCUGAGAGGGCGCACGGACACACUGGAACUGAAACACGGUCCAGACUCCUACGGGAGGCAGCAGUGGGGAAUUUUGCGCAAUGGGGGAAACCCUGAUCGCAGCAACGCCGCGUGGAGGAUGAUAGCCCCUUGGGGUGUAAACUCCUUUCGACUGGGAAGAUUAUGACGGUACCAGUGGAAGAAGCACCGGCUAACUCUGUGCCAGAGCCGCGG